This 105-nucleotide small nuclear RNA is filed under the name Peromyscus maniculatus bairdii (prairie deer mouse). RNAcentral also lists the same sequence under 1 other name. The record is from RNAcentral. Lineage: Eukaryota; Metazoa; Chordata; Mammalia; Rodentia; Cricetidae.
GUUCACUUCAGCAGCACAUACUAAAAUUGGAAAGAUAUGGAGAAAAAAUUAGUGAGGCCCCUGCACAAGGAUGACAUGCCAAUUUAUGAAGCAUUUCAUAUGUUU